This 73-nucleotide transfer RNA is filed under the name Oryctes borbonicus. It matches the Rfam family "tRNA". Rfam says of the family: Transfer RNA (tRNA) molecules are approximately 80 nucleotides in length. The record is from Rfam by way of RNAcentral. Lineage: Eukaryota; Metazoa; Arthropoda; Insecta; Coleoptera; Scarabaeidae.
GACUCCGUGGUGCAGUUACUAGCGCACCCGUUUAGAAACCGAGAAGUCGUAGGUUUAAAUCCUACCGGCGUAU